AGCGAACGCUGGCGGUAGGCCUAACACAUGCAAGUCGAACGGCAACACACUACUAGCUUGCUCUUACCGGUUGCGAGUGGCGUACGGGUCAGGAAUACAUCCGACUCUACUUUUUCGUAGGGGAUCACGUAGGGAAACUUACGCCAAUACCGCAUCCCAUCUACGGGUGAAAGCAGGGGAUCUUCGGACCUUUCGGGAUUGGAUUCGCCGAUUUCGGAUUAGUUAGUUGGGUGGUUAAAUGCCUACCAAGUGGCGGAUCCGUAGCUGGUCUGAGAGGAUGGUCAGCCACACUGGAACGGAGACACGGUCCAGACUCCUACGGGAGGCAGCAGUGGGGAAUAUUGGGCAAUGGGCGCAAGCCUGAUCCAGCCGGACCGCGUGGGUGAAGAAGACCUUCGGGUUGUAAAGCCCUUUUGUUGGGAAAGAAAAGCAGCAGGUUAAGACCCCGCUGUUGUGACGGUACCCAAAGAAUAAGCACCGGCUAACUUCGUG
Molecule: ribosomal RNA, 492 nt
Filed under: uncultured bacterium
Lineage: Bacteria
Description: partial 16S ribosomal RNA
Rfam family: Bacterial small subunit ribosomal RNA
Source: RNAcentral